Gallus gallus (chicken) is the source of this 1421-nucleotide long non-coding RNA. RefSeq lists it as uncharacterized. The transcript has 3 exons. Lineage: Eukaryota; Metazoa; Chordata; Aves; Galliformes; Phasianidae. The record is from RefSeq and is a predicted model, not a curated record.
AAAAAUAGAAGACAAUGAAAUGGCAAUGCGUAUCCUUAAGGACGUGGAGACAGCCUCCAGGAACGCAAUCAGCACUCCCACUUCUUGGCAUUGUAGGAACGUAGGGUUUGUUAAAAUAACCACUUUGCACAACACUAAACAAUAAGCAUGAGAAAUAGUUGGGUAAGGAUGACUUCAUCCUCUCCAGAAACCACAGUGAGGAAGUAGAAGGGAACCAGAGGAUGACACCGAGCGGGGACUGAAAGGCGAGGCGAAGUCACUCAGCUGCAGGAAUCUCAGAAUUGUUUGAGUUGGAAGGGAGACCACUAAAGGCCAUCUGGUCCAACCCCCUGCAAUGAACGGGGACACCACAGCUCCAUCAGUGCUCACAGCCCCUCCAGCCUGACCUCGGGUGUCUGCAGGGAUGGAGCACCGCCACCUCUGGGCAACCUGAGAAAUGCAGAAAGGACGUGGACUGCCCAGAGCAGGGCACCACGGACAGGAGCUCAUUAGCAUGUUGAAAUUAUUUCCGCUCCAGCAAGUUUGGGUGAUGAAGCUGAGGCACAGGAGGCACACAGAAGGUCACCCAGCAGCAGCUCAGAGCAGAGCUCUGACCGGAGCAGCCCCAGACGGACCUGUGUGAGGUUCAGCCCAUGGGAUCAGCUGCACUGAGCCACACACACUACUACACUGCUGCCUCUGCAUCUUCUGGGCCUCCCAUAACAACUUCAAUACAGGGCUUUAAACCAGAUGCAACCCCUUUGCAUGCAACGUGGAUGACAGCAGGAUCAACGCCAACGUCCCUACCCACAUAUGAGCCUAAAGGUCUCAUUCAGCAUAAUCAUCCCCCGAGAGCUGACAAAAUGGGCAACAUGGCAGUUCUGACCCCCUCCCUGCCCUCUGAUGCCACCUGCAGCAGUGAUGGUCCCACUGACCACUCAGCCAAGCCUCUUGUCAUUGUACUCAGUCAGUGGAAAAGGUGCUGGAGCUUGGGCUUAGAGACCAAGAAAACCAUGGUGAUUUCAUCUUAAGCCACUGCAGAUGGCAGGUGUGCAGAGCUGGCUCACUCAACACAUAGAAUGAAUCAUAGAAUGGCCUGGGUUGAAAAGGACCACAAUGAUCAUCUAGUUUCAACCCCCUCCUAACAUGCAGGGUCUCCAACCAGCAGACCAGGCUGCCCAGAGCCACAUCCAGCCUGGCCUUGAAUGCCUCCAGGGAUGGGGCAUCCACAGCCUCCUUGGGUUGUGUCACACCAGACACUUCCCCGCUCCGUUUGCAGAAACACAGAAGGAUGCUGUGGAGAUCUCUGGGCACCACUGGGAAAGGGUCAGGAGAGCACGUAGGGAACACAGAAGGGGAACAAAGCAGAAGGAUUCCUAAUGAAUGACAUUCACAUUCCUGUUUUUGUGCAUUCUUAGUAGCAAAUUAAAAAGGAGAGACAA